Molecule: ribosomal RNA, 253 nt
Filed under: uncultured bacterium
Lineage: Bacteria
Description: partial 16S ribosomal RNA
Rfam family: Bacterial small subunit ribosomal RNA
Source: RNAcentral
UACGUAGGGGGCUAGCGUUGUCCGGAAUCAUUGGGCGUAAAGAGCGUGUAGGCGGCCCGGUAAGUCCGCUGUCAAAGUCGGGGGCUCAACCCUCGAAUGCCGGUGGAUACUGUCGGGCUAGAGUGCGGAAGAGGCGAGUGGAAUUCCUGGUGUAGCGGUGAAAUGCGCAGAUAUCAUGAGGAACACCGAUUGCGAAGGCAGCUCGCUGGGACGUAACUGACGCUGAGACGCGAAAGCGUGGGGAGCAAACAGG